This 69-nucleotide transfer RNA is filed under the name Chrysomeloidea sp. 8 KM-2017. Its description in RNAcentral is "tRNA-Gln". The record is from RNAcentral. Lineage: Eukaryota; Metazoa; Arthropoda; Insecta; Coleoptera.
UAUGCUUUAUUAUAUGAUGUAUGGGAAUUUUUGGUAUUUCAGGAGGUAGUUUAAUUCUAUUGAGCAUAA